This 99-nucleotide small nuclear RNA is filed under the name Loxodonta africana (African savanna elephant). Lineage: Eukaryota; Metazoa; Chordata; Mammalia; Proboscidea; Elephantidae. The record is from RNAcentral.
CCACUUUGGCAAUAUACGCACUAAAAUUGGAAUAAUAGUGAGAAGGUUACCAUGGCUCCUGGGUAAGGAUGACAUGGGCCAGAAGGAAAGGAAAAUAUC